RNAcentral lists this long non-coding RNA (1230 nucleotides) under Mus musculus (house mouse). Its description in RNAcentral is "long non-coding RNA chr11:107637933-107639163". Lineage: Eukaryota; Metazoa; Chordata; Mammalia; Rodentia; Muridae. The record is from RNAcentral.
AUUUAAUAUGUCUGCUCGGAUUUUAGUGAGCAUUCGCUUUGGAUUUAGGGUUGACAGUUCAUAGUUUGUUGAUUUCUUUUACAAGAAAAUUGAGCAAACUUUCCAUUUAUUUAUUUAUUUAUUUAUUUAUUUAUUUAUUUAUUUAACGAAUCUACAAGAAGCAAAAAAAAUUGAUUUUCUUUUUAUAGCAAUGUUAAAACAGAAAAUGCAACUUUGUUAAGAAAAGCCAACGUAUUCUGUCAUAGCGCAUUAUUGUCUCAAGACUGAUUUCUUGCUCAGACAAAAAGGAGACAUCAGUUUUAAUGAGGAAGUGUUGAGUCACAGAGUCCUGUGCUUCAGAGAGACCACAUGGUCGCCAGCAUUGACCUCACGGCCUCAUCUGAGCCUUCCUGGCUUUCUUUCCCAAUUUCUGGUUUCCAGAGAGGAUGCAGGUGUCCUGAAGGGUCGCUCACAGGAAAGCAGUCUAGGCACCCUGAGGUUAAGGUUCUGGCUAUCACAGGGCUUUAGGAAAGUGGAGGGAGUGUGUGGCUGUCUUUAGGGACUGGAUUUCUAAUCUCUGCUUGUGGUGUUUACAGAGAAAUGGCUUUUGUUGCCUAACAGGAACUCCUCUAUCCCUUUACAGAUUGAUCGGAGGGUUAUAGUUAGAAUCCAGUGCAAAAAAGCGUCAGUGCCACUUGCUCAAACCCUAGCCCAAGCCAGGGAGCCUGGCAUUGUCACUAGUCUGUACCGUUUAAUUUUAGAACAGGUAAACUUUUCCAUGGUGGCCUUCGGCUCUCCUUUGUUGUUUUGUCCCCUGACUGGAAGCCACUGGCCUGGUCAUGAUAGGUGGGAGGACUGACACCUAAAAUCCAGAAGGCCCUCAUGUGGCACCAGGGAUCAUACCCACAAGGGAUCGUAUUCAACCAGCAGGGCACUGGGCCCUUUUCCUUCUCAUUCUGUUUUCAGGUAUUUUCCAAGCUCCAGGAUGUGUAUAGCACAGCUUUCCUGGACUGCCAGUUUUAUUCAAAGUAUUUUGGAAAAGAAUUAAUUUUAUAUUAUGAAAAUGCAAAGGCAACAUUUGUGUGACCUUUAAAUAUUAGACAUGUAACUUUAGAGAAACUUCAAAUGACUUUGAACUUAAUUAGGACAUGAUUGUUCAGUUCUGAGUUACUGCUGUCAAAAUUUUGAGGUACAUUGCCCAGGGCCUCUUCCAUGGACAGAAAACCAGGUUUUGAUUUACUGUAGCUGAAU